GACGAACGCUGGCGGCGUGCUUAACACAUGCAAGUCGAACGGAAAGGCCCUGCUUUUGUGGGGUGCUCGAGUGGCGAACGGGUGAGUAACACGUGAGUAACCUGCCCUUGACUUUGGGAUAACUUCAGGAAACUGGGGCUAAUACCGGAUAGGAGCUCCUGCUGCAUGGUGGGGGUUGGAAAGUUUCGGCGGUUGGGGAUGGACUCGCGGCUUAUGAGCUUGUUGGUGGGGUAGUGGCUUACCAAGGCUUUGACGGGUAGCCGGCCUGUGAGGGUGACCGGCCACAUUGGGACUGAGAUACGGCCCAGACUCCUACGGGAGGCAGCAGUGGGGAAUAUUGCACAAUGGGCGGAAGCCUGAUGCAGCAACGCCGCGUGCGGGAUGACGGCCUUCGGGUUGUAAACCGCUUUCGCCUGUGACGAAGCGUGAGUGACGGUAAUGGGUAAAGAAGCACCGGCUAACUACGUG
This 468-nucleotide ribosomal RNA is filed under the name uncultured bacterium. RNAcentral's name for it is "partial 16S ribosomal RNA". It matches the Rfam family "Bacterial small subunit ribosomal RNA", at positions 28 to 507 of the family's 1533-position model. The record is from RNAcentral.